Molecule: long non-coding RNA, 597 nt
Organism: Xenia sp. Carnegie-2017
Lineage: Eukaryota; Metazoa; Cnidaria; Anthozoa; Malacalcyonacea; Xeniidae
Exons: 3
Source: RefSeq, a predicted model, not a curated record
AAAUUCUUGCCCCCAAAAUGCUUUGUUUUAGAUAUAUUAUAUUGUUUAAAUGACAGUUAUGGCUCCCUUCCCUUUUGACUGCCCUUCCCCCCAACAGAAAAUUCUUGCCACCCCACUGGAGCACCCCUCCUUCAGCACAGGCAAUACCACUGUAUAUAUACAUAGUACAUUACAGCAAGCUGCAGAGAUUUUCUUAAAGUAGAACCUGUUCUUUUUUGUGUAGCUUGAAGAUGUCAUACACGUAGUUGCUUUGCCUGCGAACAGGUUUACAUCGAGUGCCCAAAUAUUGAAUCAUUACCGUCAUUCAUUUCUUUAGAGAAAUUUAUGGAAACAAGAAUAUAAACGUGGCGUGAAUAUAAAUGCUACGCUCGACUGGAGACUAACUGCAUAACGACGCAAUAAAACUCUGUUUUCUUUCUGUGGUGUUUAAUGAACAGUAAAAGCGAUAUUAUUUGUCACAAUAACGGCGAAUGCGUGGAUACGAAACAUUCUGGUUGCAUUUCUCUCUCAUCUGAGCGUCCUCUAUUUAGGUAUUCAAUUAUUGAGAACAACUGUUCAUCUGCAAUGAGGUUAGUUCAAAUAAAACUUUUUAAAGAA